AGAGCCAAGACCCGGCCCUCAAGUCCUCCUAUUAGGGCAGCACUAGGGCUACCUCUUUGUCAGCAGAACCUUUGGAUAGCCGCUGAUGGGGUGAGUCAGCUUUCUGGGCCCGGCAGACCUUUUGGGAAUCCCUGGCUUUUGGGGCACAACAUCCUGGGGACCACCAAAAAGCCCUUUCACCUGAGCUUUGGGAAAGAGGAACAGCUCCGGCUGUGGGUGGCUCAUGUCACCAUCUGGAAGCCAGCUGGGCCACAGCAGACGCGCUGUAAGCUCCUUGGAGGCAAGGAUUCUGUCUGCUUCACCUCUAAAGCUUCAGCAUGGCAUGUGCCCUGCAAAUGGCAGUGCCAGUGGACAUAUGCUAGAUGAGUGGAUGAAGGACCAUCCCACAUCAGCUCAUCGUGGAGUAUGCAGCUCAGUCCUCCCGCCUCUCAGGGACAACUUGGAUCUUCACCGUUCUUCGCCACUAAGAAUUCCAGUCAUCUACAUUCAGAGGGAAGCUGAGCAAACUGGCUCCUGCCCACACUGGAAAAUUUCUCUGCCUAAACCAGCUUCCCUAAGCCGAGGGGAGAGUCCAAGAUCCCGAAGAUGGCAGGGCCGUGCAGGCUCCUGGGAUUAAGACACAAACAAGCCCUGUUCUCAGGCUGACAGUAAAUGGUUCAGACAGUCCUGAUGACUUGUGCAUUGUGACUGACACGGGACACAGCCACGGAAGUGGAGUCACGGUACCCAAAACCAGAGAGGUCAGAGGCCAGACACUUAUCUGGGCUGCAGGACCUGGUGCCCACCUCUGUGGGUCUUUCUCAAAGACUAUGGCAGAAACUUCCUGGUUCCAAGGGAC
This is a long non-coding RNA of Homo sapiens (human), 838 nucleotides long. The record is from Ensembl. NCBI's taxonomy places the organism in Eukaryota, Metazoa, Chordata, Mammalia, Primates, Hominidae.